Molecule: non-coding RNA, 161 nt
Filed under: Ellagibacter isourolithinifaciens
Lineage: Bacteria; Bacillati; Actinomycetota; Coriobacteriia; Eggerthellales; Eggerthellaceae
Description: FMN riboswitch (RFN element)
Rfam family: FMN riboswitch aptamer (RFN element)
About the family: The RFN element is a highly conserved domain that is found frequently in the 5'-untranslated regions of prokaryotic mRNAs that encode for flavin mononucleotide (FMN) biosynthesis and transport proteins.
Source: RNAcentral
GUUUCAGGGCGGGGUGAGAUUCCCCACUGGCGGUAACCAGAAGGCAGCCAUGCCACACUGGAAGUCCGCGACCCGAGCAGAUGAGGCGCCCCAGUGCUUCGUUCGCUUGGCUGAUCCGGUGAGAAUCCGGGGCCAACGGUUACAGUCCGGAUGGAAGAGGC